RNAcentral lists this ribosomal RNA (465 nucleotides) under uncultured bacterium. Its description in RNAcentral is "partial 16S ribosomal RNA". It matches the Rfam family "Bacterial small subunit ribosomal RNA", at positions 28 to 507 of the family's 1533-position model. The record is from RNAcentral.
GACGAACGCUGGCGGCGUGCUUAACACAUGCAAGUCGUACGGGAAGGUUCGUUCGGGGGUACACGAGUGGCGAACGGGUGUGUAACACGUGCGUAACCUGCCCACAACCUUGGGAUAACGCUAGCAAACUGGUGCGAAUACUGGAUAUGUCCUUCUGCUGCCUUGAGGUGGUUGGAAAGCUCUGGCGGUUGUGGUUGGACUCGCGUACUAACAGCCUGUUGGUGGGGUAGUGGCCUACCAAGGCGGCGACGGGUAGCCGGUCUGUGGUGGUGACCGGCCACAUUGGGCCCGAGAGACGGCCCAGACACCUACGGGAGACAGCAGUGGGGAAUAUUGCACAAUGGGCGCAAGCCUGAUGCAGCACCGCCGCGUGCGGGAUGACGGCCUUCGGGUUGUAAACCGCUUUCAGCAGGGACGAAGCUUUUUGUGACGGUACCUGCAGAAGAAGCACCUGCUAACUCCGUG